GAUGAACGCUGGCGGCGUGCCUAAUACAUGCAAGUCGAGCGAACAGACGAGGAGCUUGCUCCUCUGACGUUAGCGGCGCACGGGUGAGUAACACGUGGAUAACCCACCUAUCAGACUGGGAUAACUUCGGGAAACCGGCGCUAAUACCGGAUAAUAUCUUGAACCGCAUGGUUCAAUAGUGAAAGACGGUUUUGCUGUCACUUAUAGAUGGAUCGCAGCCGCAUUAGCUGGUUGGUAGGGUAACGGCUUACCACGGCAACGAUGCGUAGCCGACGGUAGAGGGUGAUAGGCCACACUGGAACGGAGACGCGGACCAGACGCCUACGGGAGGGAGCAGUAGGGAACGGUCCGCAAUGGGCGAAAGUCUGACGGAGCAACGCCGCGUGAGUGAUGGAGGUCUUCGGAUCGUAAAACUCUGUUAUUAGGGAAGAACAAAUGUGUAAGUAACUAUGCACGGCUUGACGGUACCUAAUCAGAAAGCCACGGCUAACUACGUG
RNAcentral lists this ribosomal RNA (497 nucleotides) under uncultured bacterium. RNAcentral describes it as "partial 16S ribosomal RNA". It matches the Rfam family "Bacterial small subunit ribosomal RNA", at positions 28 to 507 of the family's 1533-position model. The record is from RNAcentral.